AGUUUCCAUAGGAACAAAUUGCGUAGAUGACAUCUUAAAAGCUCCAUUUUCACACUUUCCGGAUAUUGCGAAGAUUUCUACAGAACUGGGGACACCUGAAAAAAAAACCCGGGAGAUCUUUAAGCAGCUUUAUACGUGAAUCGCCAGUGAUAACUUGUAUACGGUGUACUAACAUGAUGUUUCUUAUAUGGACAAGUCUUAUACAAAUGGUUGUAUUCGGAGAGGAUGCUUCAUAUACAGGCAAACAUGAAAUGACACAUGGCUUGUUGUCUCAAUACUUCUUACCACACAUCUAUGAUACAGACGACGAUUGGCUCGCUGACAGAGCAGACGACACAGACGAUAUUUCGCAGCAAUUAUCUGAACAGUUUAAACUCCUCUUCAAAACGUAUUCUCAAGACGAGGCAGACCAAAUGGCAGAUAAAAAAGAAACUACGAUUGGCAUGCUUUCUAACAAUGUACAUGAUAGAAACAGUUAUGACACAGU
Long non-coding RNA from Mytilus trossulus (common blue mussel), 487 nucleotides. RefSeq lists it as uncharacterized. The record is from RefSeq and is a predicted model, not a curated record. The transcript has 3 exons. NCBI's taxonomy places the organism in Eukaryota, Metazoa, Mollusca, Bivalvia, Mytilida, Mytilidae.